Non-coding RNA from Podarcis lilfordi (Lilford's wall lizard), 75 nucleotides. The record is from the annotation of a GenBank genome assembly. Lineage: Eukaryota; Metazoa; Chordata; Lepidosauria; Squamata; Lacertidae.
GGAAGGGCCAUAGCUCAGUGAUAGAACACCUGCUUUGCAAGCAGAAGGUCACAGCUUCAAUCCCUGGCAUUUCCA